UACGUAGGGGGCAAGCGUUAUCCGGAUUUACUGGGCGUAAAGCGCGUUAAGGCGGUUGGCAAAGUUGGUUGUGAAAUUUCGGGGCUCAACCCCGAAACUGCGUCCAAUACUGGUCGACUUGAGUACGAGAGAGGAAGGUGGAAUGCUUGGUGUAGAGGUGAAAUUCGUAGAUAUCAAGCGGAACACCGGUGGCGAAGGCGGCCUUCUGGACAGUGACUGACGCUGAGACGCGAAAGCGUGGGGAGCAAACAGG
RNAcentral lists this ribosomal RNA (253 nucleotides) under uncultured bacterium. RNAcentral describes it as "partial 16S ribosomal RNA". It matches the Rfam family "Bacterial small subunit ribosomal RNA", at positions 524 to 776 of the family's 1533-position model. The record is from RNAcentral.